AAAAUUUAUAUGAGAAAGGGGGGUCUGAGACUUGGGAGUUUUCGAAUUUUCAUUUGAGAGAGAGAGAGAAGAUUCGCAGUUCGUAGAACGCACUGUUGAAUUAACCUAAUGGGAACUACAACUAAGCUAACAUCCUCAUCUGUUAAGAGAUUUAUUAUCAAACCGACAAAUAUACCAAACCGUAUUGAAGUAAGGCCUUACGCCGAAGCAGUUCAGGCAAUGGAGGCUCGGGUCAUUGCUGUUGAACGGCGACUUGAGGAAUUGGAAGCCAGAAUGGCUGAUAUGCGAAGAGAUUUUUUUAGAGACAUUUGAGAAAUGAAUGGAUCUUUUCCAAGAAGAGGUUUAUCAAGCUUUUUGGUAAUUCAAAGCAGGAUUCUUUCAAGGCAAAGGGAACAAUGUCAGGUGUGUUGCAACUGAAAUGGCCUAGGACAGUAUUUGUUGGAUUUUUGGUAUGUUAAAAAUGAAAAUAUACAAUUUCAUUAACUGUAAUGAAAUGGCCUAGGACAGUAUUUGUUGGAUUUCAGUGUCGUUCUAGUUAUCCAUUAAUUAAAAAAAAUAUAGUCCAAUGAAAUGCAAUGUCUGAAGUAAAUGGCUAGUUGUUUUUAUAUGGCAAAUUUAUAGAGCUAGUAACGGGUGAGAA
Molecule: long non-coding RNA, 640 nt
Organism: Impatiens glandulifera
Lineage: Eukaryota; Viridiplantae; Streptophyta; Magnoliopsida; Ericales; Balsaminaceae
Exons: 4
Source: RefSeq, a predicted model, not a curated record